RNAcentral lists this ribosomal RNA (255 nucleotides) under uncultured bacterium. Its description in RNAcentral is "partial 16S ribosomal RNA". It matches the Rfam family "Bacterial small subunit ribosomal RNA", at positions 229 to 478 of the family's 1533-position model. The record is from RNAcentral.
GCCCAGAUGGGAUUAGCUAGUAGGUGGGGUAAUGGCUCACCUAGGCGACGAUCCCUAGCUGGUCUGAGAGGAUGACCAGCCACACUGGAACUGAGACACGGUCCAGACUCCUACGGGAGGCAGCAGUGGGGAAUAUUGCACAAUGGGCGCAAGCCUGAUGCAGCCAUGCCGCGCGUGUGAAGAAGGCCUUCGGGUUGUAAAGCACUUUCAGCGAGGAGGAAGGCAUAAAGGUUAAUAACCUUUGUGAAGACGUAC